This is a non-coding RNA of Petromyzon marinus (sea lamprey), 242 nucleotides long. The record is from RefSeq and is a predicted model, not a curated record. NCBI's taxonomy places the organism in Eukaryota, Metazoa, Chordata, Hyperoartia, Petromyzontiformes, Petromyzontidae.
AACACGACCGCGAUGAGCAAGGCCGCGUGACGAUGAUGAUGGUGAGGAUGAUGAUGGUGAUGAUGAUGGUGAAGAAGGAGAAGCUGGCGGUGGAUAGGCAACACGAAGGGCAGUCGUCCCUCUCUUCGCUCCGCCAGCAGCAACAGCAGCAGGAGGCCGGGCGAGUGUCAAGCCCCAUCACAGCGGGACUGCGACGGGACGUCACGACGUGGUACCAUUAGAAUAGGAGAAUAAGUUUAUAU